RNAcentral lists this ribosomal RNA (253 nucleotides) under uncultured bacterium. Its description in RNAcentral is "partial 16S ribosomal RNA". It matches the Rfam family "Bacterial small subunit ribosomal RNA", at positions 524 to 776 of the family's 1533-position model. The record is from RNAcentral.
UACAGAGGGUGCAAGCGUUAAUCGGAAUUACUGGGCGUAAAGCGUGCGUAGACGGUUAUGUAAGUCAGGUGUGAAAGCCCCGGGCUCAACCUGGGAAUGCCAUUUGAGACUGCAUAGCUAGGGUACGGAAGAGGGAAGCGGAAUUUCAGGUGUAGCGGUGAAAUGCGUAGAUAUCUGAAGGAACACCAGUGGCGAAAGCGGCUUCCUGGUCCAGCACCGACGUUCAGGCACGAAAGCGUGGGGAGCAAACAGG